This 1530-nucleotide ribosomal RNA is filed under the name Salmonella enterica. RNAcentral's name for it is "bacterial SSU rRNA". It matches the Rfam family "Bacterial small subunit ribosomal RNA". Lineage: Bacteria; Pseudomonadati; Pseudomonadota; Gammaproteobacteria; Enterobacterales; Enterobacteriaceae. The record is from RNAcentral.
AGAGUUUGAUCAUGGCUCAGAUUGAACGCUGGCGGCAGGCCUAACACAUGCAAGUCGAACGGUAACAGGAAGCAGCUUGCUGCUUUGCUGACGAGUGGCGGACGGGUGAGUAAUGUCUGGGAAACUGCCUGAUGGAGGGGGAUAACUACUGGAAACGGUGGCUAAUACUGCAUAACGUCGCAAGACCAAAGAGGGGGACCUUCGGGCCUCUUGCCAUCAGAUGUGCCCAGAUGGGAUUAGCUAGUUGGUGAGGUAACGGCUCACCAAGGCGACGAUCCCUAGCUGGUCUGAGAGGAUGACCAGCCACACUGGAACUGAGACACGGUCCAGACUCCUACGGGAGGCAGCAGUGGGGAAUAUUGCACAAUGGGCGCAAGCCUGAUGCAGCCAUGCCGCGUGUAUGAAGAAGGCCUUCGGGUUGUAAAGUACUUUCAGCGGGGAGGAAGGUGUUGUGGUUAAUAACCGCAGCAAUUGACGUUACCCGCAGAAGAAGCACCGGCUAACUCCGUGCCAGCAGCCGCGGUAAUACGGAGGGUGCAAGCGUUAAUCGGAAUUACUGGGCGUAAAGCGCACGCAGGCGGUCUGUCAAGUCGGAUGUGAAAUCCCCGGGCUCAACCUGGGAACUGCAUUCGAAACUGGCAGGCUUGAGUCUUGUAGAGGGGGGUAGAAUUCCAGGUGUAGCGGUGAAAUGCGUAGAGAUCUGGAGGAAUACCGGUGGCGAAGGCGGCCCCCUGGACAAAGACUGACGCUCAGGUGCGAAAGCGUGGGGAGCAAACAGGAUUAGAUACCCUGGUAGUCCACGCCGUAAACGAUGUCUACUUGGAGGUUGUGCCCUUGAGGCGUGGCUUCCGGAGCUAACGCGUUAAGUAGACCGCCUGGGGAGUACGGCCGCAAGGUUAAAACUCAAAUGAAUUGACGGGGGCCCGCACAAGCGGUGGAGCAUGUGGUUUAAUUCGAUGCAACGCGAAGAACCUUACCUGGUCUUGACAUCCACAGAACUUUCCAGAGAUGGAUUGGUGCCUUCGGGAACUGUGAGACAGGUGCUGCAUGGCUGUCGUCAGCUCGUGUUGUGAAAUGUUGGGUUAAGUCCCGCAACGAGCGCAACCCUUAUCCUUUGUUGCCAGCGGUUAGGCCGGGAACUCAAAGGAGACUGCCAGUGAUAAACUGGAGGAAGGUGGGGAUGACGUCAAGUCAUCAUGGCCCUUACGACCAGGGCUACACACGUGCUACAAUGGCGCAUACAAAGAGAAGCGACCUCGCGAGAGCAAGCGGACCUCAUAAAGUGCGUCGUAGUCCGGAUUGGAGUCUGCAACUCGACUCCAUGAAGUCGGAAUCGCUAGUAAUCGUGGAUCAGAAUGCCACGGUGAAUACGUUCCCGGGCCUUGUACACACCGCCCGUCACACCAUGGGAGUGGGUUGCAAAAGAAGUAGGUAGCUUAACCUUCGGGAGGGCGCUUACCACUUUGUGAUUCAUGACUGGGGUGAAGUCGUAACAAGGUAACCGUAGGGGAACCUGCGGUUGGAUCACCU